This 333-nucleotide ribosomal RNA is filed under the name Salmonella enterica subsp. enterica serovar Bovismorbificans. RNAcentral describes it as "partial 23S ribosomal RNA". It matches the Rfam family "Bacterial large subunit ribosomal RNA", at positions 901 to 1231 of the family's 2925-position model. Lineage: Bacteria; Pseudomonadati; Pseudomonadota; Gammaproteobacteria; Enterobacterales; Enterobacteriaceae. The record is from RNAcentral.
GGUAGAGCACUGUUUCGGCUAGGGGGCCAUCCCGGCUUACCAACCCGAUGCAAACUGCGAAUACCGGAGAAUGUUAUCACGGGAGACACACGGCGGGUGCUAACGUCCGUCGUGAAGAGGGAAACAACCCAGACCGCCAGCUAAGGUCCCAAAGUCAUGGUUAAGUGGGAAACGAUGUGGGAAGGCCCAGACAGCCAGGAUGUUGGCUUAGAAGCAGCCAUCAUUUAAAGAAAGCGUAAUAGCUCACUGGUCGAGUCGGCCUGCGCGGAAGAUGUAACGGGGCUAAACCAUGCACCGAAGCUGCGGCAGCGACGUUUAUGCGUUGUUGGGUAG